This 69-nucleotide transfer RNA is filed under the name Marmota monax (woodchuck). RNAcentral describes it as "tRNA.Ala". The record is from RNAcentral. Lineage: Eukaryota; Metazoa; Chordata; Mammalia; Rodentia; Sciuridae.
GGGGUUGUGACUCAGUGAUAAAGCGCUUGCCUAGCAUGUAUGAGGCACUGGGUUCGAUUCUCAACACCA